CUCUCUGCACUACAGAAGCCUGCCUACUCCCCAGUAUCUUCCCCACUGGUUAUUAUUAUUCAACGCAGGAAGAAGAGACCACUCACCCGUAAUUUCAACAGCAACAAAAGACCUGAGGUUCCACCAUCAGAACUUCACGCCCUAAGGAAGAUGCAGCAUUUCCUGUAAAAUGCAAGUGCUCCCAGGCAGAGAAACCCUGGGCCCCUUCCCCAGCUGUCAUGAAGGUGCCUGAGUGAUGGUCAGAGAGAUGACCGGAGAGGCCCACCCGGCCACCGCAGCAGCAGCAGCCAAGGCGGGACUAAGCCUCCACACCCCACAUCUCAUUCGUGGCCAGCCCGGGAUGCCUGCCUCUCCUGCCCUGUGGUGUUGCUGUCCUCAUAUGACCCUUCAGCCCCCGACAUCUGGACAGGCUUUAGGGACCUGCUUGAGCAGAACAUGGUAGAAGUGAUGGACUGGGGCUUCUGAGGCUAAGCCAUAAGAAACCUUGAGAAUUUCACUGGGCCCUCACUGUCUCUGGGAGCCCUGAGCCAUGAUAGAAGAAGUCCUUCCUAUAUUGAAUGUCCUUGAGACCUCCAGUACUGGAAAGGGCAUGUGUAGAUGCUCAGACCAACAGUCCAAACUGAGCCCAGUCUGCCAUCUUGCCCUGCCAAGGUGUCAGAUGCAUAUGUGAAUGAGACCAUCCUAGACCUGCUGAUAGCCCAUCACCCGGCUGACUGCUACUGAGUAACCUCUGCCAACUUCACGCCG
Molecule: long non-coding RNA, 747 nt
Filed under: Pan troglodytes (chimpanzee)
Lineage: Eukaryota; Metazoa; Chordata; Mammalia; Primates; Hominidae
Description: long non-coding RNA NONPTRT005700
Source: RNAcentral